RNAcentral lists this ribosomal RNA (999 nucleotides) under Vibrio sinaloensis. RNAcentral's name for it is "bacterial SSU rRNA". It matches the Rfam family "Bacterial small subunit ribosomal RNA", at positions 488 to 1480 of the family's 1533-position model. Lineage: Bacteria; Pseudomonadati; Pseudomonadota; Gammaproteobacteria; Vibrionales; Vibrionaceae. The record is from RNAcentral.
CAGCCACCUGACUAACUCCGUGCAGCAGCGUAGUAAUACGGAGGGCUAGCGAUCGUUCAGUCGUAUUGCUGGUCAGUAAAGCGGCAUGCAGGUUGUUUUGAUUAGUCAUGAUGAUGAAACCCCGGGGCAUCCAUCCUCGGAUCUGCAUUUGAAGCUGGCAGACGUAGACUACUGUAGAGGGGGGUAUAUCUUCAGGUGUAGCGAUGAAAUGCGUAGAUGAUGAGGAAGGAAUACCGGUGGCGAAGGCGGCCCCCUGGACAGAUACUGACACUCAGAUGAGAAAGCGUGGGGAGCAAACAGGAUUAGAUACCCUGGUAGUCCACGCCGUAAACGAUGUCUACUUGGAGGUUGUCGCCCUGACCCGUGGCUCUCAGAUCUAACGCUUUAAGUAGACCGCCUGGAGAGUACGCUCGCAAGAUUAAAACUCAAAUGAAUUGACGGGGCCCCGCACAAGCGGUAGAGCAUGUGGUAUAAUUAGAUGCAACGCGAAGAACCUUCCCUUCUCUUGACAUCCUCAGAAGCUUGUAGAGAUACGAGUGUGCCUUCGGGAACUGAGAGACAGGUGCUGCAUGGCUGUCGUCAGCUCGUGUUGUGAAAUGUUGGGUUAAGUCCCGCAACGAGCGCAACCCUUAUCCUUGUUUGCCAGCACUUCGGGUGGGAACUCCAGGGAGACUCCCGGUGAUAAACCGGAGGAAGGUGGGUACGACGUCAAGUCAUCAUGGCCCUUACGAGUAGGGCUACACACGUGCUACAAUGGAUCAUACAGGGGGCGGCCAACUUGCGAGAGUGAGCGAAUCCCAAAAACUGCGUCGUAGUCCGGAUCGGAGUCUGCAACUCGACUCCGUGAAGUCGGAAUCGCUUGUUAUCGUGGAUCAGAAUGACACGGUGAAUUCGUUCCCGGUCAUUGUACCUCCGCCCGACCCCCAUGGGAGGGGGCCCAAACCCAAGUGGUAGGGUAACCUCGGGGGAGACGGUCACCACGUUGACAUAUGCAAAGGG